Molecule: non-coding RNA, 1659 nt
Organism: Styela clava
Lineage: Eukaryota; Metazoa; Chordata; Ascidiacea; Stolidobranchia; Styelidae
Source: RefSeq, a predicted model, not a curated record
CAGGAAUUCGCUGGGAAGGAAAGACUAUAGAGAACUUGAAGCUUUCUGAAACACUUCUUGAAAGCGGGAAAGACAAUUUAUCAUUAUAUCGAAAGACAUGCGGAAUUAUUUGUCCGAAAAUGCAUCACUGAGAGAAGUCGCUGCCUCGAGUCUAAAAAGCAAUUUUCUAAAACACUGCUUGGAAGAGUCAUGCAUCAAACGGAGUCGACAUUGUUAAUAGUCUGGUGCAUCACGGAGCGAGAUGGAAGCCUAUAUAGUCCAAAGAGUAAAGAGCAAUUUUCUAAAACACUGCUCGAAAAAGUCAUCGCAUCGAACGACAUUGUUAAUAGUCUGGUGCAUCACGGAGUGAGAUGGAAGCCUAUAUAGUCUAAAGAGCAAUAAAAGAGUGAAGAUGGAAAGUAAGAAUGUUGAGCCAAAUAUUGGGGAAAUGAAAGCAAACGUAUCAACAAAAAAGCGCUGAACGUUUCCACAAAUUUGAGAAAGAAAUGAAAUGGUCACUUCUAAUUCUCUGAUGAGGCGUAAUAAAUUGGUAGAUUUAAAAGAACGCAACACGAGGACUAUCAUUGAAUUUUUAGAAUUUUCCGAUUUAGUCGUAACGAUACUGAUCAGUUUGAUCUUCAUUAAAGCUUGCGAGUACUUUUGCAGAGCAAUGCUGUAUUUUGCAAAAAUCUUAAACUAUUUGGUGAAGAGAGGGAAAUGAACUGCAAAAUGUUUGUUCCUAAUACCAUGUUUUAUUUAUACAGGAUUCCCCACACUAUAUCUCCGCCAUAACAAAAACGCUUGAUCAGAUGUUUGAAAGCGAUGCACAACAACAGAUUCAUGAAAAAUAUCCCUAUUUACUGGUGCACAUGUUUGACCGAAAAUAUAUUAAUUGAAAGCAAAAGUUUUUCGGAUUUUGUCUCUCUUAGCAAAUUCAUUUGAACCGUUAGGUUUCAUUUUACCCAAUAUGCUAGAUAAUGUCUCUGCUGGAAAUGCGGAGCACUGGUCAAACUUGUGUGCAUGCACUGAAAUAUAUAUACAAAAGAAAACUGAGUCCUAACAUGAGGCCGAGCUGAAAUAAUGAUUAUGAGACAGAAUGUGUUUGUGCGUUAAACUCUGUUUGGGAAGACAAAGAUUUGGCGUCGGUUAUUUUAAAUUUAGCCGACAGAUUACUGAAAUGCUUUGCUUAAAUACAUUUCGUAUCACAAUAAUGAAAUUUAAAGCGCCAAAAAAUAAAAACAAAAUACGCGCGUUGCGUUAAUGAGCCUUGUUGGCCGUAAUUGUGAUAAAAUUAUACUAUUUUGAGCUUUUGAAAAAAUAAAAAUGCGAAUUCUAUUCACUUUUAUGCAGGUACAUCCUAAAACUCUCAUUUGUAGUGCGAUUGUUUUGAAAUCAUAUUUUCAAAAAUAGUGUUCUUAGAGCCCAUGCCUUUAUGUAUAAGUUUUCAAAUCUAGAAAUAUAUUCCCUAUUUCUUUAUAGUUUAUUGCGAGUAUUAAUAUGCUAUGUUCUUUUAAUGAAUGGUUAAUGUAUACAAUCCCUGUGGAUAAUUUAACUUAUUGAAAAUUAUUUGAUGAAAUAAUUGAAUGAAAUAAUACUUCAUGGCUUUGUUUCCUCGCCAUAUAAAUUUGGAAAAGACGGAUAGGAGAAAAAUCUACACAUUACAUGUAAAUAUUUUUACAA